UCUGCGCCUGCGCGCUGCGGCCGGCUCUAGGACCCGGAUUUAAAGAGACAGGCGCUACAACCGUCGUGGUGGCGUGCGGCCUGUGGGCGCCGAGUGUGAGGCCUGCGGUGUGCGCCUGAGCUGGGAAGGCAGCUGUAUGACUUUGACUUUCAAGAUCCUCUUCCCAUCAGCCCUCCGCGCACUGGGGCGAAAAGAACUGAGCCUGUUCCGAGAGCAAUAUCACUGGCCUGACAGAAGACAAUUCAGCCAUUGGUUAGAAACAGAUCUGCUUGAUGGGCCCUGCCUCCUGCAGAGAAGAAAGCCUGCUCUGUCAUUCCAGGAAGGCCAUCUAAGACCACGUGCCACCUGCCUUGUUUUCUUGCCAGGGGCGCAUGUGGGACUCUGCAGUGGCCCCUGUGAGAUGGCCGAGCAACGGUUCUGUGUGGACUAUGCCAAGCGUGGCACAGCCGGCUGCAAAAAGUGCAAGGAAAAGAUUGUGAAGGGGGUAUGCAGGAUCGGCAAAGUGGUGCCCAAUCCCUUCUCAGAGUCCGGGGGCGAUAUGAAAGAGUGGUAUCACAUUAAAUGCAUGUUUGAGAAACUGGAGCGGGCUCGGGCCACCACAAAAAAAAUUGAGGACCUCACAGAGCUGGAAGGCUGGGAAGAGCUGGAAGACAAUGAGAAGGAACAGAUAAGCCAGCACAUUGCAGAUCUGUCUUCUAAGGCCACAGGCACACCAAAGAAGAAAGCCGUCGUCCAGGCUAAGCUGACAGCCACUGGCCAGGUGACCUCUCCAGUGAAAGGUGCCUCACUCGUCACCAAUAGCAAUCCCCGGAAAUUUUCUGGUUUUUCAGCCAAGCCCGACAACUCUGGGGCAGCCCGCGCAAGCCCUCCCCCUAAGGCAAGUCUGUCCUCAAGCAGAUGUGACCCCAAGCACAAGGAUUGUCUGCUACGAGAGUUUCGGAAGUUGUGUGCCAUGGUGGCUGAGAAUCCUAGCUACAACACGAAGACCCAGAUCAUCCAGGACUUUCUUCGGAAAGGUUCAGCAGGAGAUGGUUUCCACGGUGAUGUGUACCUAACAGUGAAGUUGCUGCUGCCGGGUGUUAUUAAGAGUGUUUACAACUUGAACGAUAAGCAGAUUGUGAAGCUUUUCAGCCGCAUUUUUAACUGCAACCCAGAUGAUAUGGCACGAGACCUAGAGCAGGGCGACGUGUCAGAGACAAUCAGAGUCUUCUUUGAGCAGAGCAAGUCUUUCCCCCCAGCUGCCAAAAGCCUCCUUACCAUCCAGGAGGUGGACGAGUUCCUCCUUCGGCUCUCCAGGCUCACCAGGGAGGAGGAGCAGCAGCAGGCCCUGCAGGACAUCGCCUCCAGGUGUACAGCCAAUGACCUCAAGUGCAUCAUCAGAUUGAUCAAACAUGAUCUGAAAAUGAACUCGGGUGCAAAGCACGUGUUAGAUGCCCUUGACCCCAAUGCCUAUGAAGCCUUCAAAGCCUCACGCAACCUGCAGGACGUGGUGGAGAGGGUCCUCCGCAAUGAGCAGGAGGUGGAGAAGGAGCCAGGCCGGAGACGAGCUCUGAGCGUCCAGGCUUCCCUGAUGACACCAGUGCAGCCCAUGCUGGCUGAGGCCUGCAAGUCCAUCGAGCACGCGAUGAAGAAGUGUCCUAAUGGCAUGUUUUCUGAGAUCAAGUACGAUGGGGAGCGAGUGCAGGUGCAUAAGAACGGGGACCACUUCAACUACUUCAGCCGCAGCCUCAAGCCUGUCCUGCCUCACAAGGUGGCCCACUUCAAGGACUACAUCCCUCAGGCUUUUCCUGGAGGCCACAGCAUGAUCCUGGACUCCGAGGUGCUCUUGAUCGACACAAAGACAGGCAAACCGCUGCCCUUUGGGACUCUUGGAGUGCACAAGAAAGCUGCCUUCCAGGAUGCUAAUGUUUGCCUGUUUGUUUUUGAUUGUAUCUACUUCAAUGAUGUCAGCCUGAUGGACAGGCCUCUGUGUGAGCGGCGGAAGUUUCUUCAUGAUAACAUGGUUGAAAUUCCCAACCGGAUCAUGUUCUCAGAAAUGAAGCAAGUCACUAAAGCUGCAGACUUGGCUGACAUGAUCAACCGGGUCAUCCGAGAGGGGCUGGAAGGGCUGGUGCUGAAGGAUGUAAAGGGUACAUAUGAGCCUGGAAAGCGGCACUGGCUGAAAGUGAAGAAAGACUAUUUGAACGAGGGGGCCAUGGCUGACACAGCUGACCUGGUGGUCCUUGGGGCCUUCUAUGGGCAAGGGAGCAAAGGUGGCAUGAUGUCCAUCUUUCUCAUGGGCUGCUAUGACCCAAGCAGCCAGAAGUGGUGCACGGUCACCAAGUGUGCAGGGGGCCAUGAUGACGCAACCCUUGCCCGCCUGCAGAAGGAACUGGACAUGGUGAAGAUCAGCAAGGAUCCCAGCAAGAUACCCAGCUGGCUGAAAAUCAACAAGAUCUACUAUCCUGACUUUAUAGUCCCAGACCCAAAGAAAGCUGCCGUGUGGGAGAUAACAGGAGCUGAGUUCUCCAAGUCUGAGGCUCACACUGCCGACGGGAUCUCCAUCCGAUUCCCACGUUGCACCCGCAUCCGUGAUGAUAAGGACUGGAAAUCUGCCACUAACCUCCCCCAGCUCAAGGAACUGUACCAGCUGUCCAAGGAGAGAGCGGACUUUACGGUGGCGGCCGGAGAGGAGGGGAGCUCCACCACAGGGGGCAGCAGCGGAGAGAACCAGGGUACCUUGGGGCCUGCGGCGGCUCACAAGGCCUCCAGGGCCUCCCCGAAGCAGCCCUCCACCAGUGCCAAGAAGGCAGGAGGAAGGCCGAGUAGCCCCAACAGCAGAGGCGGCUGUCUCCCACAGGCCACCAGCGGACUGUGAAAGUGGGGCAGAAGCGGAAGGCUCCUGAUGAGACCGCGUGCCCAGCAAAGAGGCGGCCGGCCAGCCCGCACAGAGGAAGGAGAGCGGUGCCAGCAGGCAGGAGAUAGAACAGCCUGGCCUCACUGAGAGAGGCUGCAGGCACCCAGCGGGCUGCAGGUCCCGAGUCACAGUUUGCAUUAAAGAGAAGGGAGAGAGCCGGUCUGGGUGGAGUGCAGCUGUGUGAGUUUGUGCUCAGGGCCAAAGCAGAACCAGCCCCGCCCCGAGGAGCGGGUCAGGGGCACUGGCCAGGUGACUGGCGUCCUACCUGCAACGCCCUUCCCUUCUUGUCCUCCCCCGUUUGUCUUCGGUCUGAAAACAGCUGUUGAGCUGCUCCUGAACGUGGCAGUUAGGCUUAGCCCUGGGGGAGCUGCUGGCCCACAGGGUACAGAGGUAAACACUGGAUCUCUGUCCGGUGUGAUGGACCCAGCAGUCCUCCUCCCCCUAGCCAAAGCCAGCAUCGGAGAUUGCCAAGUGGAGUCUGCACCCGGUCCCCAGCAGAAGUAGGGAACUUUUCCCAUCUUUUCCCUACCGGAAGCCCCUGCCCCCGUCCACAGCAGAGCAGGGCUCCUAACCCCCACGUCUAGCUGCCUGUGUGCUGCGCACUGCUCCGUCAGCCAGUGUCACGGAGUCUGAGAGCCACUGGCCCUGCCCCUGGGUGGUGGUGCUUGAGUAGACACAUUCUCCUCUUUUCCAGGUCCCCUGUGUGGGGACCCAGCCAUGCUCCCUCCUUUUCCUCUAGACGGAUAGGAUAUGUGCCCUCUGGAGUGGCUGGGGGACUGGGGUUUUGAUACAUGGUCCUUUCCUCCAGUCAGCUCUGAGAUGGCUCCCUCCCAUCUCUGGCUCUGGUUCUCAGACCUUCCUGUCUGCCUGUGCUGCGCUGGGUGGAGCCCCAGCCUGACCGCUGCACAU
Mustela lutreola (European mink) is the source of this 3805-nucleotide RNA transcript. It is a transcript of the gene named DNA ligase 3, with no coding region annotated. NCBI's taxonomy places the organism in Eukaryota, Metazoa, Chordata, Mammalia, Carnivora, Mustelidae. The transcript has 20 exons. The record is from RefSeq and is a predicted model, not a curated record.